Molecule: ribosomal RNA, 255 nt
Filed under: uncultured bacterium
Lineage: Bacteria
Description: partial 16S ribosomal RNA
Rfam family: Bacterial small subunit ribosomal RNA
Source: RNAcentral
UACAGAGGGUGCAAGCGUUGUUCGGAAUUAUUGGGCGUAAAGCGCGUGUAGGCGGCUUGGCAAGUCGGGUGUGAAAUCCCUCAGCUCAACUGAGGAAGUGCGCUCGAAACUGCUUUGCUUGAGUGCAGGAGAGGUUAACGGAACUUUCUGUGGAGGGGUAAAAUCCAAAGAUAUAGAUUGGAACACCGAUAAGGCGAAGGCAGUUAACUAUUCUGUUACUGACAUUGAGGCACGAAAGCGUGGGGAGCAAAACGG